GUUUCUACUCUAAAUGAAAUAAGUUGUGACUCAAAUACACUAAGUGAUAAAAGCGAUUUGAGGUUGGUCUCCACAUGGGCUGCACAGUAUACUAGACUAUUUCUCUGGCCUUCAACAGCUUUGGCUCUUAGCUCAAAAGGCCGCUUUGGAGUAUGAACUUUAUAGGGCUCUUAAGUCAGAAAUAUAUAGUAAAGGGGGAAAUCAACAAACAGCAAGGAAAUUUCCAUUUCUAAGGUGGAAAAAAAGAGUAUCUAAUAAAAUGCUAACUUUUUCGAGUUCUGGAUAAUGAAAUGUACAUAGUUUAGAGGCCAGAUGUAUAAAACAAGUGAAUGGUAUAUGCAUAUUUUUGGAGGGCAUCGUAUCUCAGUCAUACUUCAUAAUUGCUAUCUCCCUUUAUGUAUAGCACAGUACUUUUAUAAUACAGAAAAAAUGGAUAUAAGUUAAGUGGUGAUUUGGUCAUUAUCUAGCCCACUUCCUUUGGAUUUCUGCCUAGGAGCUGAAAAGCACUGCCCCAGCUAGGGUUAUUCACUUCCUUCUAGAGCACUUGCAAGGUGCAUAUGGUUGGUACACGUCUCUGCCCUGGAAGUAGGGAACUCGGGCCCCAGUCAGGUUCAGGUUGAGGGAGGCAAGGAGACCAUAGCAACAUAAGAUGCACUCAGCGUGGCUUUAUUUAGUUAGUUACUUGUAACAUCUGUUCUAUUCAACUAGAUCAAAGACUCUUUAGAGAAUUUUUGCUCUCAUCUAGAUCAAGUUCUCCCAACCUUAGUGCUACUGACAUUUGGAACCAGAUACUUGUUUUUUUGUUUUUUUGUUUUUUUUUUCUUUGUCUUUUUGCUAUUUCUUGGGCCGCUCCCGCGGCAUAUGGAGAUUCCCAGGCUAGGGGUCGAAUCGGAGCCGUAGCCACCAGCCUACGCCAGAGCCACAGCAACGUGUGAUCCGAGCCGCAUCCGCAACCUACACCACAGCUCAUGGCAACGCUGGAUCGUCAACCCACUGAGCAAGAGCAGGGACCGAACAAGGUUGCGGGCUCGGUCCCUGACCUUGCUCAGUGGGUUAAGGAUCCAGCGUUGCCGUGAGCUGUGGUGUAGGUUGCAGGUCCCUCGUUGCUGUGGCUCUGGUGUAGGCCAGUGGCUACAGCUCUGAUCAGACCCCUGGCCCGGGAACCUCCAUAUGCUGUGGGAGUGGCCCAAGAAAUGGCAAAAAGACAAAAAAAAAAAAGAAUUGCUGAUCUAGGACUGUGGGACAUGCUUUUUAGACCAAUGGUAUGAUAUUUUAUCCAUUUAAUAGUCAUUCUUAUGUCUACAUCACAAGAACAUUUCUAGUAAAACAAUGGCUACUUUUUGAGCCACUUCUCUGUGUUGAGGGGCUUUACCUUCUUUGGCUCAUUUAAAAUUUACAAGAAUCCUACAUGAAUGCAGGUAAGCAGUGGUGGAGUCUGGAUUUGGAUUCAGAUUUUUUCUUUAAAUUCUCCAAACUCUUUAAUCCCUCACUCACCACUGGAAGAUUAUAUGGUUUUAGAAAUUUUUUAGACAACAGACUAUAGUGGUUUAAAGUACAGGUUCUGGGAACAAACUGCCUAGAUCUGAAUCUGUCUCAUCUAGUUCUUAGCUAUAUGUUAUUUAAAUUCUUUGACCUCAUUUUUUUUUUAAUCUAUAAAAUGCAUCCCUCUCAGGGGAUUUCUGUGAAAAUUACAUGAGAUAAUGUAUACAAUGUCCGGCACAUGGGAAUGCACAGCUACAAUGAGUUUAAGCUUCAAACUCAUGUGCUGGCAAAACUGGAAUAGAAUGUAUGUGAGUAAGGUGAGCCUGCACUUGGCAUCUGGGAGUGGUGGGGACUGUGGAGGACUUCGUAGGUCUCCUCCUGUCUAUACAUUCUCCAGCCAAUUUGCAAAGACAUUGGUACAAGCUAAAUAGCUGGUAUUGGCAGGUUGGACUGAGAUCAUGACCCCACGAUUACUGGUGAGGUCACUGAAAUCCAGUGAAGCAAAGGGGCCUUCCAGGGUUGUACUGUCUCUCAGUGGUGGGGUUUGAUAAGAAACUUAUGCCCCAUUUUAUCCUUGCCCACAUCUCAUUCUACUGCCCUGUAUGUAGUUCCUUCUAUUUGUUUUCUGAAAAACAUCUCUUGCUUUUAAAUCUGUAAAUGAGUUCUGAUUUCCUCAUAAGCUGAAAACAUUUAUUCAUACAGAGACUCUGAGCAAUGACUGUGGGCAGAGGAUUCUCCUACCAGGAUACUUGAGCAUUGAAAUUGCUCCCCACUGGGCAUCAGAACCCCCAAGACCAGACUUCACAGUGCUCCAGUGGGAGGAUUAUAGGUUUCUGCAGGUACGAAAAGGGUCAGGACUUGCAAAUAAAUGCAACCACCAAUUAGAUACCCUCAACACUAUUUGUAAUUUGGAGUCCUUAAAACAAACAAGGAUUGUUAUAGUUUAAAUACAUGAUUUUUUUAAGGCUACCAUCCUUUAAACUACUCCUUGCUGUUGAUCCUUAGGCAACGGAUUGGUAGGACUUGAGAAUGAAAAACUUAUAUAUAAGAGAGUAUAUCUUCUUGAAAUCCAAAGACAUCUUAAGAAUACAGAAAAAUCUCCAUACCGUGCCUACAUUUCCAAAUAUUUCUAAUAGUUUACUACACAAUCCUUUAUCCCAUUUUACAGAUACACACACACACACACACACCUCUACUCACUGUUUAUUAUGAUCUAGAAGGUCACAGGUCACUGUUUUAUUCAUAUUUAUCUCUUUAGCACACACACACACACAGAGAAAACAGUGUCUGGUAUCAAGUAGGUACCUGGUGAAUAUUUUUAAAAUUAACAGAAUAAUGUUUGGAAGCUUGAAUGAUGAAAAGCAGACUCUCUAUUAUAAACGGGCAGUUCUACUUUGUUUGAACUCAUAAAGAUAAUGUCUCUUUCCACUUUGUUAAAUUUCUUUGUAACUUCUAACCAUUGAUCCCAGACUGACCACGCAGGUUAUGUAAAGAAGAGCUUCCAUCAGUUUUCGAAGCCCUUGAAGACUGGCUUCAUGAUUCCCUAAUUCUUUUAUUUAAUAUUUAUAUAUAAGACAAAUACCCUUUUCUCCUUCUAUGGCAUGAUGUCAAAUCCCUAGAACUAGAACAUACAGAUAUCCCUCCUUGAUCUGUUCAAAAACUUGUUUGCUUUGGUUUAAAAUUUGUGGCAGUGACUUCUGGUUGUCCCUGAAAAGUCAUACACCAUUUCUGAUAUAAUGUGGGUACAUGACUACAGCUCAAGACUCUUAUUUCCCAGCUUCUUUUGUACCAGACAUGCCUAUGCAGCUCGUGGUGGUCAAUGGAAUGUGAAUGAAAGUGAUAUGUACCACUUCUGAGUCAUGAUCUUAAAAUGAGCUCUUUUCUUCCUUCUUCACACCCUGCUGCCUGGAGACAAGCCAUCCUGAACUGCACCGAAGAAGGGCCCAUCAUAGGGAUGGCAGGACAACAAAUUAAGAAAACGAACAUGUACACACACACAGUAUAAGAAAGGUAGUACAAUUUCAUAAUAAAAUUAAUUAAGACACAUGGAUAAAAAUCUGUGGUCUCUGGAUGAGCUUAAAGAGCCAAGAUGGUUUACCGCAACCUUGACUGCUCACCUUUAGAUAAUAACAUGAUAGAGAAAAAACUACUACCUUACUUAAGCCAUGUUGAGUUGAGACCAUCACAUGCAUCUGGAUCUACAGUCUACUAACAACGCCAGCUCCCUGAGUUCAGCAGAUAAACUAUACCACAGAAUGUAUGUUGUUGACUUAGCAUUUGGGGAGUAGAUGGGAAAGACGUAAUUAUUAUAAACUAAAGCCACUGGCUCUCAUUAUUCCAUGUGAUAUCUCAAAAGCAGACCAGCGUUCUUGAUUCUGCAAUUUGAUACUGAAACCUCAUUACAUUUCACUAACCCAAUCCCCCAUUUCUCUCUAUUGUGAGGCCUCACGUGUCACUUAAUGAAUUUUCCCUCCGUUUUCAUACCCAGUCUUUCACUACAUUAUAUACAUGCCUCAUGGAUUUGUUUCGUUUUAUAUUUUUAAUUGUUUUUAACUGAAAGGCCAGUCAGACCAUGUGACAUAUCACCAGGGAUUCCCUUCACCCAUUUUGGAGGAUAAUUAUUUAAUUGUAUCUAAUGGGAAAACCCCUUCAUUGUUCAUUCCUAUAACUCAAUCUUCUUUAAUGUUCACACAUACACACACUGAUAAUUAUCAUUAGUAUCUGCACAUUAAUAAGCACGCUUUUUGUAUUUUUAGUGUUUUUCGGUGAUGCUCCAAACCAGGAUUCAGCAAACUAUGGAUGAUAGGCCAGAUGUAACUCAUCUCCUGUCUUUUUAAAUGAGGUUUUAUUAGAACAUAGCCAUCCCCCUCCAUCUACGGAUUGUCUAUGGAUGCUUUUGUGCUACAGUGGCAGAGCCAAGUAGUUGCCACAAACACUGCAUGGCCACAAAUACAAAAAUAUUUACUAUGCAGAAAAAGUGCAGUGAUACUUGCCUAAACUAGUGUUUCUCAAACUUUUUUCCAUUAUCAUUCUCCCAAAGAGCUUUGUGAGAUUUUUUUUUUUUCCAAAUCCCCCAUCCCCAGGAAACUGUAAUAGUGUGGACUGUUUUCUUUUUCUUCCUUUUUAGGGCUGCACUCAUGGCAUAUGGAUAUUCCCAGUCUAGGGGUCCAAUUGGAGUAGCAGCAGCCAGCCUACACCACAGCCACAGCAACACAGAAUCCAAGCCACAUCUACAAAUUCCGCCACAGCUCAUGGCAACACCAGAUCCUUAAUCCACCGAGUAAGGCCAGGGACCGAACCUCCAUCCUCAUGGUAACUAGGGUUCAUAAUCCACUGAGCCACAAGGGGAACUCACAGCCCCUACAGAGAAUGCAGAAUCUAUACAAGGUUUUUUUUAGUCUCAACACUAACUGAUAUUUCAGGCCAAAUAAUUCUUACUGGGGGAAGCUGCCCUAUGUUCUAUAGAAUGUUUAGAACCAUCCCUGGCUUCUAGACACAAGUAGCUACUUUACACAUCUGCGGCAAUCAAAAAUAUCUUCAGACAUUGCCAAAUGUCCCGUGGAGGGAGAGAUGGUCACAUUGUCCCAGCAGCGAAUCCCUUGCUUUAGACUGAUAAUGUCAUCAUGCAAAAAAAUAAGAGGGAAAAUUUACAUUACUAUAUCCUGGCAAUAGUUACCAUUAACAGAGUUUCUUAUCUCUUUCCUUAGUUGUGAUUCUCACCCCACUAGAUACAGGCCCUGUGAAAGCAGAAACUUGAAUUAUUCAGCAAUGUAUCCAAAUGAACAUCCAGAAAAAUGUAUGGCUCUCCAUUUAUGUUUAAAGAUAAAUCAAUAAUUCUGACUAAAACCAUGCUGGCACUCACAAAUUACAAUUUCUUCCUAAAAGAGGUUAAAAAAUACAUCUUCAAAUAAUUUAUUCUAAGUUUUCCUUCAAAACGGGCAUUAGACACAUUGGCCAGGAGUUGCUUGAAUCCCUGUCUAUCUUUAAUUAUCUACAACAAUUUCUAUUUCAACAGAGUUCCUCAAAGACUAGUCAGUGGUUCAGAAAUCUUAUUUAAUUCUCUCAGUGAGUUUUCUUCAAAGCCAGGAAAAUCGAACUUUUGGAGAGAAAGUCUUACCAUUCCUUCUCUUAUAUUGAGUUUCCAUUCUCAACUAACAAUGGCCAUUCUAUCAUUCAAUUUGUAAGAAUUAUUCUCAUUGUCAGGCAUCCAAAGAAAAAAUAUGGAAGGAAAUGGGCUUUCUCUGUCAUCAAACACAUGCAAUCAUUUCUUAGAUUUUUCCUGCUCUGAAGAAAAACAUAAUUGUUUUCUUGCCACUCACCCUCAGGGUAAUAUUAUAGAAGAUUGUCUUAGAAAUGAAAAGCAGGCAAUACAGAGAUGUGUUCCUAAGAGUGAUAAGGAUAUCAUCAAGG
Molecule: long non-coding RNA, 5892 nt
Filed under: Sus scrofa (pig)
Lineage: Eukaryota; Metazoa; Chordata; Mammalia; Artiodactyla; Suidae
Description: lncRNA (ENSSSCG00000055567.1)
Source: RNAcentral